Molecule: ribosomal RNA, 468 nt
Filed under: uncultured bacterium
Lineage: Bacteria
Description: partial 16S ribosomal RNA
Rfam family: Bacterial small subunit ribosomal RNA
Source: RNAcentral
GACGAACGCUGGCGGCGUGCUUAACACAUGCAAGUCGAACGGAAAGUCCCGGCUUUUGUGGGGUGCUCGAGUGGCGAACGGGUGAGUAACACGUGGGUAACCUGCCCUUGACUUUGUGAUAACUUCAGGAAGCUGAGGCUAAUACCGGAUAGGUGCUCCUGCUGCAUGGUGGGGGUUGGAAAGGUUCGGCGGUUGGGGAUGGACUCGCGGCUUAUCAGCUUGUUGGUGGGGUAGUGGCUUACCCAGGCUUUGACGGGUAGCCGGCCUGAGAGGGUGACCGGCCACAUUGGGACUGAGAUACGGCACAGACUCCUACGGGAGGCAGCAGUGGGGAAUAUUGCACAAUGGGCGGAAGCAUGAUGCAGCAACGCCGCGUGCGGGAUGACGGCCUUCGGGUUGUAAACCGCUUUCGCCUGUGACGAAGCGUGAGUGACGGUAAUGGGUAAAGAAGCACCGGCUAACUACGUG